AAAAUAUAUCCAAUAGCAAAAGAAGAAUUCCCAAUUUCAUCAGGUCGUACAACUACAUCUACAGGUAUCUAAGAGGUAACGAGGAGUCAUUCUGAUGCAAUAGGGAGACAACGCGAGUCACGAUCGGUCAAGAGUUUCCUAUUGAAAUACCGCGAUGGACGAAAAUGCAUUUCCGCAACUAUCAUUUUUUCUGACCACGAUAUCUCUAUCAAUAAGAAAAAUUGGCUGUAAGUUAUUUGUUCAUCCAAAAAUAUUGAAUGAAAUAGAUGAAGUCGAAAAAUGUGAAAUGAAUAGAAGAUAAAAAAGUAU
This is a long non-coding RNA of Apis florea (little honeybee), 309 nucleotides long. The record is from RefSeq and is a predicted model, not a curated record. NCBI's taxonomy places the organism in Eukaryota, Metazoa, Arthropoda, Insecta, Hymenoptera, Apidae.